GUGCUCACUUCGGCAGCACAUAUACUGAAAUUGGAACCAUACAGAGCUGAUUAGCAUGGCCCCUGAAAUUAAAAAAUAUAUAUAUUAUGUUGUA
Molecule: small nuclear RNA, 94 nt
Filed under: Microcebus murinus (gray mouse lemur)
Lineage: Eukaryota; Metazoa; Chordata; Mammalia; Primates; Cheirogaleidae
Source: RNAcentral